CCUACGGGUGGCAGCAGUGAGGAAUAUUGGUCAAUGGACGCGAGUCUGAACCAGCCAAGUAGCGUGAAGGAUGACUGCCCUACGGGUUGUAAACUUCUUUUAUAUGGGAAUAAAGUGAGCCACGUGUGCGUUUUUGUAUGUAUUUUAUGAAUAAGGAUCGGCUAACUCCGUGCCAGCAGCCGCGGUAAUACGGAGGAUCCGAGCGUUAUCCGGAUUUAUUGGGUUUAAAGGGAGCGUAGAUGGGUUGUUAAGUCAGUUGUGAAAGUUUGCGGCUCAACCGUAAAAUUGCAGUUGAUACUGGCAGUCUUGAGUACAGUUGAGGUAGGCGGAAUUCGUGGUGUAGCGGUGAAAUGCUUAGAUAUCACGAAGAACUCCGAUUGCGAAGGCAGCUCACUAAACUGCAACUGACACUGAGGCUCGAAAGUGUGGGUAUCAAACAGGAUUAGAUACCCGAGUAGUC
This 460-nucleotide ribosomal RNA is filed under the name uncultured bacterium. RNAcentral describes it as "partial 16S ribosomal RNA". It matches the Rfam family "Bacterial small subunit ribosomal RNA", at positions 338 to 795 of the family's 1533-position model. The record is from RNAcentral.